Molecule: non-coding RNA, 108 nt
Organism: Acanthosepion pharaonis
Lineage: Eukaryota; Metazoa; Mollusca; Cephalopoda; Sepiida; Sepiidae
Source: the annotation of a GenBank genome assembly
GGCAAUAUCACAUUAAAAUACUGGUUCUCAUUCAAUCACUGAAGUUAAGCAACAUCGAGCCUGGUUAGUAGCUAGUUAGUGACCUCUUGGGAAUAACAGAUGCUGUAA